This 116-nucleotide small RNA is filed under the name Marmota monax (woodchuck). Lineage: Eukaryota; Metazoa; Chordata; Mammalia; Rodentia; Sciuridae. The record is from RNAcentral.
GCUGGGCAUGGCGGUGCAUGCCUGUAAUCCUAGUGGCUUGGGAGGCUGAGGCAGGAGGAUUGUGAGUUCAAAGGGUUUAGUGAGGCGCUAAGCAACUCAGUGAGACCUUGUCUCUA